CCUACGGGUGGCAGCAGUGGGGAAUAUUGCACAAUGGGGGAAACUCUGAUGCAGCGAUGCCGCGUGAGUGAAGAAGUAACUCGUUACGUAAAGCUCCAUUAGUAGGGAAGAAAACGACGGUACCUGAGUAAGUAGAACAGGCUAAUUACGUGCCAGCUGGUGCGGUAAUAUGCAGGGGGCAAGCGUUAUCCGGAUUUACCGGGCGUAAAGUGAGUGUAGACGGUGGGCCAAGUCAGGAGUGAAAUGCCGAAGCUUAACUUCGGAACUGGUUUGGAUACUGGCGAACUAGAGUGGAGGAGGGGUAGGCGGAAUGCAUAGUGUAGCGGUGAAAUGCGUAGAGAUUAGGAAGAACACCGAUGGCGAAGGCAGCUUACUAGACCAUCACUGACGUUGAGGCUCGAAAGCGUGGGGAGCAAACAGGAUUAGAUACCCGUGUAGUC
This 440-nucleotide ribosomal RNA is filed under the name uncultured bacterium. RNAcentral describes it as "partial 16S ribosomal RNA". It matches the Rfam family "Bacterial small subunit ribosomal RNA", at positions 338 to 795 of the family's 1533-position model. The record is from RNAcentral.